This 473-nucleotide ribosomal RNA is filed under the name uncultured bacterium. Its description in RNAcentral is "bacterial SSU rRNA". It matches the Rfam family "Bacterial small subunit ribosomal RNA", at positions 335 to 800 of the family's 1533-position model. The record is from RNAcentral.
ACUCCUACGGGAGGCAGCAGUAGGGAAUCUUCCACAAUGGGCGAAAGCCUGAUGGAGCAACGCCGCGUGGGUGAAGAAGGUCUUCGGAUCGUAAAACCCUGUUGUUAGAGAAGAAAGUGCGUGAGAGUAACUGUUCACGUUUCGACGGUAUCUAACCAGAAAGCCACGGCUAACUACGUGCCAGCAGCCGCGGUAAUACGUAGGUGGCAAGCGUUAUCCGGAUUUAUUGGGCGUAAAGGGAACGCAGGCGGUCUUUUAAGUCUGAUGUGAAAGCCUUCGGCUUAACCGGAGUAGUGCAUUGGAAACUGGGAGACUUGAGUGCAGAAGAGGAGAGUGGAACUCCAUGUGUAGCGGUGAAAUGCGUAGAUAUAUGGAAGAACACCAGUGGCGAAAGCGGCUCUCUGGUCUGUAACUGACGCUGAGGUUCGAAAGCGUGGGUAGCAAACAGGAUUAGAUACCCUGGUAGGAUAGGG